Molecule: long non-coding RNA, 339 nt
Organism: Pollicipes pollicipes
Lineage: Eukaryota; Metazoa; Arthropoda; Thecostraca; Pollicipedomorpha; Pollicipedidae
Exons: 4
Source: RefSeq, a predicted model, not a curated record
GGACGGCACGCGCAGCCCCGUCCAGAAUGGCGACCACAAGUUCCAGCCGUUCUCGCGGGUCGACAUCGAGGUCACCGGCGAGCAGGAGCACACGUGCUCACUCCAGGUACGGCGGGGCAGUGAGCCGGCCCUGAACCAGAUCUGCCCGCUGCCCCAGUUCCCGCCGCCGGCCAGCCGCGGCGACGCCAGCAAGCGAUGGUCGGCCGCGCCGAUCAUCGACGACGACGUGCAGGCUAGCUCCACCCCGCUCAAGACGGCCAGCUGCGACCCGCUGACGCCGCCCGGCGAGCGCGGCGAGCCGUCCGGCGACGAGCGCGACCGGCUGACGCUGCCCAGGCU